UCUCCUUCUCUGUGCUUGAACAAUCCUAUGAAGAAAUUCCAAUAGACUAUGAUAAAGAUAUGAAGAAUGGCCUAGAACUCCACAGAGACAAAUAAAAUAUGAUGAUUGUGGUGAAAUGGUGGCCAGAGAGAGGGGUGGGAGGUGAGAAGAGGAGGAAAAUUCAUCAAAAGACACUUGGCACUGUUAACAUUUCCCAGCUUCCCAUGAGUCAGGUGUGGCUCUAUAACUGAAUACUAUUCAAUGAGAUGUGAGCUGAAUGAUGUACAUUUCCAGUGCAAUCCUUUUAAGAAGUCAAUUAGCAGCUGCAUGCUAAAGGUGACCAUGACAGUGAGGCCAUGAGAAGGAAAGUGCCUGGUCCUAAUUACUCUACCUGGAUAAGAGCCAACCUGUAAACAAACACUUACUAACAAUUUAGGCAAUUUGACAAUCUACAUUCAAUUGGAGAUAGUCAAGUUUUCAAGAACUUUUAACACAACAGAAGUUAUAGAAACAACUAUGUAUCCAAGGAUAAGUGGAUUAAGAAGAUGUGGUUUGUAUACACAAAGAAAUACUAUCCAGCUAUUAAAAAAAUAAGGUUAACCAUUGACAUUCUCAACAACAUGGAUGGAACUGGAUGGGAUUGCACUAAAAGAAAUACAAUAUGAUGGCCAGAAACUGGAAAGCCACUACACUGACUGCUAAAUGGACUCAUUUUUUUAGUUCUGAAAGCAAACUUGCGAGGUAAAUAAAGACUU
Talpa occidentalis (Iberian mole) is the source of this 734-nucleotide long non-coding RNA. RefSeq lists it as uncharacterized. The record is from RefSeq and is a predicted model, not a curated record. Lineage: Eukaryota; Metazoa; Chordata; Mammalia; Eulipotyphla; Talpidae. The transcript is spliced from 6 exons.